RNAcentral lists this ribosomal RNA (325 nucleotides) under Petrocephalus sp. DTJL-1996. Its description in RNAcentral is "partial 12S ribosomal RNA". It matches the Rfam family "Bacterial small subunit ribosomal RNA", at positions 860 to 1349 of the family's 1533-position model. The record is from RNAcentral. Lineage: Eukaryota; Metazoa; Chordata; Actinopteri; Osteoglossiformes; Mormyridae.
AAAUAUUAUCCGCCAGGAACUACAAGCGCAUUGCUCGAAACCCAACGGACUUGGCGGUGCCCACACCCGCCUAGAGGAGCCUGUUCUGUAACUGACAAUCCCCGUUUAACCUCACCACCCCUAGCUUAAUCAGUCUAUAUACCACCGUCGUAAGCUCACCCUGUGAAGGCCCAAUAGUAAGCAAGAUGGGCACAACCCAACACGUCAGGUCGAGGUGUAGCACAUGGGGCGGGAAGAAAUGGGCUACAUUUUCUGCCCAACAGAAUACCAACGAAUAACGACAUGAAACUGUCGUUUAAAGGAGGAUUUAGCAGUAAAAAGAAAA